This 5600-nucleotide small RNA is filed under the name Pan troglodytes (chimpanzee). RNAcentral describes it as "retained intron". Lineage: Eukaryota; Metazoa; Chordata; Mammalia; Primates; Hominidae. The record is from RNAcentral.
AUUCAUCUAUCACUGUAUAUUUUCUUACCCAUAGAUGUUCACUUCCCUCUCUCCUGCACACAAAAUGCCCUCCAAGAGAAAUAACCCAAGAGCUGCAUCCAGUCAGAGCAUCAUGAUCAAAGUCCUGGAUGGCGCGAUAGUCUGGAUGGAGAUCCUGUGGGUCUGGAUACCUAUAAACUAAAAGGACAAUUACCUGAAUCCAUAUAUCCAAUAUACAAUGAGCAAUGGGGACAGGAUGGCCAUGGUAGACACUCCUUUACAGAAGAGGGAAGCAUGGGAAGAGUCAGUCCCGGGUCCAUAACAGUCGUGAAAUUCCACUGGACAGACACUGUGAGGACCCUUGGUCUUGGGAGUGGGAAGGUCUGUAGGUUACACCCUGGUUCUGCUCCCUGGGUGGAGCUCCCUGGCCUAGUGUUUUCCUUGGCUGUUGGCUUUGCCAUUGGGAAGUUCCUUCGUUUUGAUACCUCCUUGGUGUCAUAUGAAGAUGAUACUGGAGAAUAAGCUUUCUUGGGGGCAAAGCAGCUUUUUCAUCCUGCUGGAGUAGGUUGGUGGCCCAGGAUUGUUUUAAGUGCAACUCUAAAAAACUUAAUCAGCUUUUUAUGAAUUUGUUUCCAGUUGGCUCCAUGUGUCAGUGGUUUGACCCACAGUUCUUUUUGAAAUAUGCCCCCUUCUUUAGCCUUAAUUGUGGAGUUUUUGGAUUUCCUUGGGAAAUCUAUACUUUUUUCACUCUGAACAAUUUGGUCCUACUGAAAGCCUUUACUGGGAGCCUUUUGAAAUUACUGGGAGAUUUACUGGGAGCCUUUUGAAAUUACUCAGAGGUUUAAACAAAAAGGUUUGACAACCACAUCCAUGAUUUGGUCCCUGAUAAUGGGCUGAGUUUUAAUUAGCUGUUGUCACGCAGAAGCUGAUGUAUAUUGUCUUUGGCCAGUUGGAAAUGAGAAUUGGUUGUCUCCAACCCUGCAAGCCCUAGCAUUUCUGGACAUUUCCUAUUGCCUUCCAUUUUUGUUUUGCAAACCACAAACUCUUGAGCUCAUUUUUUCUUGUAAUACUUUGUCAAACUCAGCCAAUAACAACCAGCUCACACUACUAAUGUUAUGUUUCCAGCCUCUUCUCAUAACAUCACAAGCUCAUGCUUUCAUUGUUCAUCUUUCAAGUUACUGAAGGCAAUAGUUUCACCAAACAGUUCACCACCAAAUUACAUGGGCUGCCACCUUGCCAAUAAGUUUCUUCACUGCCUGGCCUGGAUGCCAGUGUCAUCUAUUUUUGGCUUUUUGUUAUGGCAGAACUCCACUUUGAGUACCAGUUUUUUAAGGAGUCAGUAUAGGCUAGUUAUGCCAUGAUAGCAACAGCAAACCCUCAGAGACUUACACCAUGAAAGGUUCCCUCUUGCCCAUGUUACGUGACAGCUGUGGCUUUGCCCACAUCUUCACUCAGAUCAUUUGCCAUUUUCAAGGCAGACAGGAAAGGACAAUUGCAGAACCCCCACUGGCUCUGAAGGCUUUUGCUCACCUGUAGCUCGUGUCUUUCACGUUCAGUUUGAGAAAGCAGAUGACAUCGCCCCACCUGGGGCAGGGUGAGGCAGAAGCUCAAUUCUUUAGGGAGGGCCAGUGGAUAUUUUGGACAAAUAAUAUAACCUAUCAAAAGAGGUCACUAUAGUAGUGAAUUUUUCAUGUUUGAUUAUUUUGGAUGAUUUUAUAUUAUAAAAUUGUUACUUCAGCUUUUCUGUGGAAUCAGUAUCUAAAUGGGAUUUGAUUUUUAAAUACUUUGGUGUAAAAGUAACAGGAAUUUAUAGUACUUACUUUCACCUAUUUUGCUCUUUAGUGGAUUGCCAUACAAUAUAAGCUAAAUGGGAGGUGUUCUAAUUACUGAGAUUGAAGGUGACAGGAUAGUUCUGGCCAGGACCUGUAGAAUAAUUAUGCUUUAUAAUGGUGACCUGGGAUCCAGGGUCUCAUGCUCAGCUUUAUAAACUUAGGAACUGAAUAAUGAGUAGGCUUUGGGGGAAAGGAUCAUGCUAGUCAAACGCACAAAACUUAUUGUUUCAUCAUAAAGCCACUUGUGAUUUACUUUUGCUGAACUGUGUGCUGGCAGGCAGGUGGAGGAUAAAUUAUCAUAAGCCCCAGAUUACUUGAUUUGGCCUUAUUGUUGUUAAAAUCAUAGGUCACAAGUUUCAAAAAUACUUUAGUAGAAAACUGUUGAUCCUUGUGUAUUUGAGAAUGCAAAGCAUAUUCAUCUGUUAAUUCUAAUUGAUUCCAAUUAAAUGUAACUAGAUUGAGAAUAAAACCUUUUGACAAAUGAGGAAAUGUAUUACAUUUACCCCCAACUGAGAAGAAUGUCUCUGUAGGCCUGAUUCACCUGAGACCCUGAUUAUAUUUCCUAGCAGUUUCAUAUCGAUAAGCAUAUAAGUGGACACUGGAGUGUCUUCUGUGUUUCAGGACCUGAUGACAUUUGAAGAUGUGGCUGUGGAAUUCAGCCAGUGGGAGUGGGGGCAGCUGAACCCUGCUCAGAAGGACCUCUACAGGGAGGUGAUGCUGGAGAACUUCAGGAACUUGGCCAUUCUGGGCCUUCUAGUAUCCAAACCAUAUGUCAUCUGCCAGUUGGAGGAAGGGGGUGAGCCCUUCAUGGUGGAGAGAGAAAUCUCAACAGGAGCCCACUCGGACUGGGAGAGAAGGUCUAAAUCCAAGGAAUCAAUGCCAAGUUGGGGAAUUUCCAAAGAAGAAUUAUUCCAGGUAGUAUCAGUGGAAAAACACAUUCAAGAUGUGCUGCAGUUCUCCAAGUUGAAAGCAGCCUGCAGUUGUGAUGGCCAGUUAGAGAUGCAGCAGAUAAAACAGGAGAGACACCUGAAACAAAUGUCAACCACUCACAAAUCUGCCACCACCCUUAGCAGAGAUUAUAAAUGGAAUGGAUUUGGGAGAAGCUUAGGUUUAAGAUCAGUCCUUGUUAACCAACACAGCAUUCUCAUGGGAGAAGGAUCUUAUAAAUGUGAUACAGAAUUCAGGCAGACUUUAGGGGGAAACAACUCUCAGAGAACCCACCCAGAAAAGAAAUCUUGUAAAUGUAAUGAAUGUGGGAAGUCCUUUCACUUCCAGUCAGAACUUAGGCGCCAUCAGCGAUGUCACACUGGAGAAAAGCCGUAUGAAUGCAGUGACUGUGAAAGAGCCUUUGGUCAUAUUUCAUCCCUUAUUAAACAUCAAAGAACUCAUACUGGAGAAAAGCCCUAUGAAUGCAGUGAAUGUGGGAGAGCCUUCAGCCAGAGUUCGUCUCUUGUUCUGCACUAUAGAUUUCACACUGGAGAGAAACCCUACAAAUGUAAUGAAUGUGGACGAGCCUUUGGUCACACUUCAUCCCUUAUUAAGCAUCAGAGGACUCAUACUGGAGAAAAGCCCUAUGAAUGCCGGGAAUGUGGGAGAACCUUCAGCCAGAGCUCAUCACUCAUUGUGCAUUACAGAUUUCAUACUGGAGAGAAACCUUACAAAUGUAAUAAAUGUGGGAGAGCCUUCAGCCAGAGUUCAUCUCUCACUCAACAUUACAGAUUUCACACUGGAGAGAAACCCUACAAAUGUAAUGAGUGUGGAAGGGCCUUUGCUCAUACUGCAUCCCUUAUUAAACAUCAGAGAAGUCAUGCUGGAAAAAAAACCCUAUAAAUUCAGUGAAUACAGAAGGGCUUUCAGCUGGAGUGCAGACAUCACCGGAACUUAAAGAAUUAAUAUCAGAGAGAGAUCCUAAAGGUGUAAUGUAUGUGGGAAGACCACAUCUUGUUCCACAUCAGGCAAUAAUUACUAAAGAGAAUCCCUAUCAAUGUCAAGAGGGGGUGGGCUUCCCCUCUCUUACCAAACAUGGGAGAAUCCAUACUAGUGAGAAACCACGUGAAUGUAAUGAAUGUGGGAAGGCUUUGAUCAGAGGAUGCACAUUAUUCAGCAUCAGACAGCCGACACUGGGGAGGAGCCUUAUCAAUGCAGUGAGUGUGGCAAGCCUUCAGUUACAUACUGAUUCUUUAAGAAAAUCAGAUAACUUGUACUGGAGAGAAAUUCUACAAGUGUGGUAAGUAUGGAAAAAUCUUCAGUUGUAUCUCUUCCUUUACUAAGCAUCAAGAACACAUACUAGAGAGAGGCCCUAUGAAAGCAGGAAAUAGAGGAAGGCCUUCAGUCAGGGCUCAUCCCUUAUUAAGCAUCAGAAAAUUCAUACCUGAGAAAAACCUGUGAAUGUGGGUAAUGUGGGAGAGCCUUCAGCCAAACCUCAUUGCUUUAUAAACCCCUUAGAACUCUCCCUACUAGCUGGAAACUCUGGUGACGUGAUGAGUGUGGGAAGGGCUUUGGUGGAUGUUCCACCAAAACACGUUAGAGAAUUUGUACAUUAGAGAAUUUGUGCUAGAGCAACUCUUCAAAUUUAGUGAAACUGGGAAAACCCUUUAGUAGAGUUCAAGCUUCAGUAUUCAUCUCAAAGAGAAACCUUGGGAACAUGAUGAAUGUGAGGAAAGUUCCUUUCCAACUUGAGAUGUAUAAAACUAGAGCUGAAAAGAAGCUGAGAAAUCACCUUGUCUGGUGAUUUUCUGCCUGGUGGGGCCAUUUGUAUAACCACACUUGUGCAUUGCCUCCUCAUGCUGUUACUGACGGGGCAGGGUGUCAUGCAUGGGUGCAGAGGAUGGAGGCUGAGAAAGGUAGAGAGCUACCCAUGAUCUAGCCCAGUCGUAUUUUAGAGCUAAUAAAACUGAUGUUCAGAAAGUGACAUGCCUUGGCCUAUAGUCCUAACUGGGCUGGGCCUCUUUCCUGUGGUUCACAGCUGUAGUAUGGAGAUUAAUAGACUGGAUCUUUGCAGUACAACACCUCCAUGCACUUCUUUCUCUGUAGCACAUGUUACCUUUCUUUGUGAGGCAAUGGAGUGGUCUAGGAUUGAGCAAAAAGCAAUUUUUGUUACAUCUUUAUGCUAAUAGAUUUGGAAUUUUUGAAAUGAAAUGAAACCUUGUUUAAACAUUAAAAUUACUAAAAUAGGCUGGGCGCGGUGGCUCACGCCUGUAAUCUCAGCACUUUGGGAGGCCGAGGUGGACAGAUCACGAGGUCAGGAGUUCGAGACCAUCCUGGCUAACACAGUGAAACCCUGUCUCUCCUAAAAAUACAAAAAAAUUAGCCAGGCAUGGUGGCGGGCGCCUGUAGUCCCAGCUACUGGGAAGGCUGAGGCAGGAGAAUGGCGUGAAUCGGAGAGGCGGAGCUUGCAGUCAGCCGAGAUCACGCCACUGCACUCCAGCCUGGGAGACAGAGUGAGACUCCGUCUCAGAAAAAAAAAAGAAAAAAAAAAACCAACUAAAAUAUGGGUAUUAUGCACAAUCCAGAUCUCAAAAACGUGAUUCUAAGUGAAAGAAGGCAGAUGCCAGAGACCAGGUAUUUUCUAGUACCAUUUUAGGAAAUGUCCAGAAAUGGCAGAUCUUCAGAAACAAAGUAACUACAAAUGUUACAAGGAAUCUUUUUAGGGUGACGAAAAUGUUCUAAAACUAGAUGGUGGUGAUGGUUGAACAAUUUGGUAACUUCACUAAAAAUCAUUGAAUUGUUCACUUUAUAUGGGCAGAUUUUAUGGUAAAUAUACCUCAAUAAAAUCAUUUUUCAAAAUCA